GAUCCUGGCUCAGAUUGAACGCUGGCGGCAUGCCUUACACAUGCAAGUCGAACGGUAACGCGGGGCAACCUGGCGACGAGUGGCGAACGGGUGAGUAAUAUAUCGGAACGUGCCCAAUAGUGGGGGAUAGCCCGGCGAAAGCCGGAUUAAUACCGCAUGAGACCUGAGGGUGAAAGCGGGGGAUUCUUCGGAACCUCGCGCGAUUGGAGCGGCCGAUGUCGGAUUAGCUAGUAGGUGAGGUAAAGGCUCACCUAGGCGACGAUCCGUAGCGGGUCUGAGAGGAUGAUCCGCCACACUGGGACUGAGACACGGCCCAGACUCCUACGGGAGGCAGCAGUGGGGAAUUUUGGACAAUGGGGGCAACCCUGAUCCAGCCAUGCCGCGUGAGUGAAGAAGGCCUUCGGGUUGUAAAGCUCUUUCAGCCGGGAAGAAAUCGGCGCCUCUAACAUAGGCGUCGGAUGACGGUACCGGACCAAGAAGCACCGGCUAACUACGUG
This 497-nucleotide ribosomal RNA is filed under the name uncultured bacterium. RNAcentral describes it as "bacterial SSU rRNA". It matches the Rfam family "Bacterial small subunit ribosomal RNA", at positions 15 to 507 of the family's 1533-position model. The record is from RNAcentral.